GUGGGGAAUAUUGGGCAAUGGGGGAAACCCUGACCCAGCGACGCCGCGUGAGGGAAGAAGGCCUUAGGGUCGUAAACCUCUGUUGUGUGGGAAGAAGAGCGUGACGGUACCACACGAGGAAGUCCCGGCUAACUACGUGCCAGCAGCCGCGGUAAUACGUAGGGGACGAGCGUUGUCCGGAUUUACUGGGCGUAAAGGGCGCGUAGGCGGUCAUUUAAGUCAGCUGUGAAAUGGUUUGGCUUAACCGGAUCAUGCGGUUGAAACUGGAUGACUGGAGUGCUGGAGAGGCAAGUGGAAUUCCCAGUGUAGCGGUGAAAUGCGUAGAUAUUGGGAAAAACACCGGUGGCGAAGGCGACUUGCUGGCCAGCAACUGACGCUGAGGCGCGAAAGCCAGGGGAGCAAACAGGAUUAGAAACCCGAGUAGUCC
Molecule: ribosomal RNA, 427 nt
Filed under: uncultured bacterium
Lineage: Bacteria
Description: partial 16S ribosomal RNA
Rfam family: Bacterial small subunit ribosomal RNA
Source: RNAcentral